UAUAAGAGGAUAUUUAUCAGCUCAGAGUGCUUGGCUGUUGUCCGAGAUUCUGAAAAUAAAACCCCUUCAUAUUUAUAA
Molecule: transfer RNA, 78 nt
Filed under: Eurypharynx pelecanoides (pelican eel)
Lineage: Eukaryota; Metazoa; Chordata; Actinopteri; Anguilliformes; Eurypharyngidae
Description: tRNA-Asn
Source: RNAcentral